This 724-nucleotide unclassified non-coding RNA is filed under the name Hevea brasiliensis (rubber tree). The record is from RNAcentral. Lineage: Eukaryota; Viridiplantae; Streptophyta; Magnoliopsida; Malpighiales; Euphorbiaceae.
UUUUUUUUUUUUUUAAUUUUAUUAAUCCAAGAAACUUCUUUUUGUACUGCAAAGAAAAUAACAUAGAGGUUGGCUAGUUAUGUAAAUUAAAAGCUGUACACAAAAAUAAGAAAACACUCUCCUAAAUUAGGCAAAGUAACGUGCAUGCUAGAUGCUACCUCGUGUAAGCUUAGCAGAUCUCUCUCUCUUUCUUGCUAUGGCUUCAAACAAAGCCACUGAUAUCGACCUCCUUCCAGUGGCACAUCCUUCGCUAUAUCGUAGUUGUACUUCUCUGCGAAUCGUUUUUGCUCCUUCUUUUCUGCUUCCGCGAAGAACUCAUCGAUCUCUACCUGAGUCGGCAUCGAAAUCUUCUCAACCGGAAACGUUUCACGGCAAGUCUUUCCUCCAGCUGUCGUUGUUGAGUCCAUAUCGUCGGUGUCCCAGUAAAACUCGUUUGAAUUAGUGGCCUUGCUGCUGCAAAGUGAGAAUUGAAGCAACAUAAAAUGGAUUUUGUUUUUCUUUUGGGUAUAGAGAAAAAGGAAAAUCAAUUAAUAAUGGAUGAAGAAGACGAACCUGAAUUUGUUGUCAAAGCACGUUGAGCUUUCGGUUUGGUAUAGAGAAAAAGGAAAAUCAAUUAAUAAUGGAUGAAGAAGACGAACCUGAAUUUGUUGUCAAAGCACGUUGAGCUUUCGGUUUGGUAUAGAGAAAAAGGAAAAUCAAUUAAUAAUGGAUGAAGAAGACGAAC